GACGAACGCUGGCGGCGUGCCUAAUACAUGCAAGUCGAACGCAGAAGGAGGAGCUUGCUUCUCCGGAUGAGUGGCGAACGGGUGAGUAACGCGUAGGUAACCUGCCCGGUAGCGGGGGAUAACUCUUGGAAACGAUAGCUAAUACCGCAUAACAGCAGAUGUUGCAUGACAUUCGCUAGAAAGUUGCAAUUGUAUCGCUACCAGAUGGACCUGCGUUGUAUUAGCUUGUUGGUGAGGUAACGGCCCACCAAGGCGAAGACACAUAGUCGGCCUGAGAAGGGGGAUGGCCCACCUGGGACUGAGACCAGGCCCCAGCUCCCUCCGGGAGGCGCCAGAGGGCAACUUCGGGCAUGGGCGGAAGGCUGACCGAAGAACGCCGGGGGGGGGGAGAAGGGUCUCGGGUCCGAAAGCUCCGUUGUUAGGGAAGAAAGAGUUUGGGAGUGAAAAGUUCACAUUGUGACGGUACCUUAUCAGAAAGCGACGGCUAACUACGUG
This 495-nucleotide ribosomal RNA is filed under the name uncultured bacterium. RNAcentral describes it as "partial 16S ribosomal RNA". It matches the Rfam family "Bacterial small subunit ribosomal RNA", at positions 28 to 507 of the family's 1533-position model. The record is from RNAcentral.